CGAGUAGGCGGUAGAGCAAGUCCAAGGUGGAAUCCUAUGGCUCAACCAUAGAAUUGCCUUGGAAACUGUUUUACUUGAGUCAGUGAGGGGAGGGUAGAAUUCCUGGUGUAGCGGUGAAAUGCGUAGAUAUCAGGAGGAAGGCCUGUGGCGAAGGCGGCCCUCUGGCACUGGACUGACGCUGAGGCGCGAAAGCGUGGGGAGCAAACA
This 207-nucleotide ribosomal RNA is filed under the name uncultured bacterium. RNAcentral's name for it is "partial 16S ribosomal RNA". It matches the Rfam family "Bacterial small subunit ribosomal RNA", at positions 568 to 774 of the family's 1533-position model. The record is from RNAcentral.